UUUACUGUCCUGCCUGGAGAAAUAAUAGGAAACCUCCUUUGGGGAUGCUCCUCUUGUGAAAAUUUUUCCUCCUCACAUGUUCCUGCUUGCCAUUUAUGAGUCAAUGGGAAAUUGUUGAAGAAACAAUCUGAUGUAAAAUAUUGUGGAGCCAUUACAAUUGUGUAUACAGGUUCUUAACUUGAUAUUCAAGGGGGCACCAGGAGAAGCUUUUUGUUGGGUGAUGGAAUAGCCAAGUAACAGGUAUCUGAAAAUUUUCUUGGUGCCUCUUAGAACAAGAAUAGCACUUUGAUAGAAAUACAGCCAUCCAUGGGCAACCUGGCUUACAGUAGCUGGUGCAUAUGGUAUAAUCGACAAAAUGGAAAAGACCUGAGAAAUCAGAACAGAAAUGAGGGAACAUUUUGUUUUGGUAAUGUUUUUGGUUAAUAAUUCUCAAAUGUUGAUAAAUUGUUUAUGCCAAUUUUGAAUCUAGCCAUGGUUCGGUAGUCAUAGCAACUUCAUCACUUUUGUGUAUCCAUUGGGUGGCAGUGGCAGCCUUUUCGGGGAUUCCUUAGGGACUGAUUCACUCUGCAUAGAUUGACUGAAUGGAGAGUCUUCCACUGGUAGGCAAUCAUGUGUUUCACUCAUGUUGGCAUUCUUGAUAUCUUUAGGUGUUGUCAUCAAAACCCUUCCCCGGUGGACAGAACCAGGUGUUGUCACCAAAACCCUUCCCCAUGAACAGAACGUUCUGCUAUUGACACUUGAAAAAGCAGCUUUCAAGGUCUCAUUUUUUCCUUUAAAAUCUGACAUGUUGUAAUUGAUUUUUGUGAUACUAUUGUUAUGCAGUUAUAUGGGGAAGUCGUCUGCCUCAUUAACUUGUUCACGAUAGAAGGUUGUAAUAGGAGGAAAAGGUCUACCUCAUUAACUUGUUUACAAAAUGAGGUAUAGUUGCUGCACUUUUCCAGAUUCGUAUCAUGCAAGCUUUUCAGCAUAAAUGGCAAAUUAUGUUUUAGAAGGUCCCAUUCUUACAGCAGUC
This 1012-nucleotide long non-coding RNA is filed under the name Elaeis guineensis (African oil palm). Its description in RNAcentral is "long non-coding RNA (EGUI_LNC044575)". The record is from RNAcentral. Lineage: Eukaryota; Viridiplantae; Streptophyta; Magnoliopsida; Arecales; Arecaceae.